Molecule: ribosomal RNA, 1166 nt
Filed under: uncultured Methanobrevibacter sp.
Lineage: Archaea; Methanobacteriati; Methanobacteriota; Methanobacteria; Methanobacteriales; Methanobacteriaceae
Description: bacterial SSU rRNA
Rfam family: Archaeal small subunit ribosomal RNA
Source: RNAcentral
CUCGGGAAUUGAGGAAAUACUCCAUAGAUCAUGGGAUCUGGAAUGACCCAUGGUUCAAAGUUCCGGCGCUUAAGGAUCGCUCUGCGGCCUAUCAGGUAGUAGUGGGUGUAAAGUACCCCCUAGCCUACGACGGGUAUGGGCCUUGAGAGAGGGAGCCCAGAGUUGGAUUCUGAGACACGAAUCCAGGCCCUACGGGGCGCAGCAGUCGCGAAAACUUCACACUGGGGGCAACCCCGAUGAGGGAAAUCCUAGUGCUAGGACAUUUGUUCUAGCUUUUCUCAAGCGUAGAUAACUUGAGGAAUAAGGGCUGGGUAAGACGGGUGCCAGCCGCCGCGGUAAUACCUGCAGCCCGAGUGGUGGUCGAUUUUAUUGAGUCUAAAACGUUCGUAGCCGGCCCGGUAAAUCCCUGGGUAAAUCGGGAAGCUCAACUUCCCGAAUUCCGGGGAGACUGCCGGGCUUGGGACCGGGAGAGGCUAGAGGUACUUCUGGGGUAGGGGUAAAAUCCCGUAAUCCUGGAAGGACCACCGGUGGCGAAGGCGUCUAGCUAGAACGGAUCCGACGGUGAGGGACGAAGCCCUGGGUCGCAAACGGGAUUAGAUACCCCGGUAGUCCAGGGUGUAAACGCUGCAGACUUGGUGUUGGGGGCCCUUCGGGGGCGUCCAGUGCCGGAGAGAAGUUGUUAAGUCUGCUACUUGGGGAGUACGUCCGCAAGGAUGAAACUUAAAGGAAUUGGCGGGGGAGCACCGCAACGGGAGGAGCGUGCGGUUUAAUUGGAUUCAACACCGGAAAACUCACCAAGGGCGACUGUUACAUGAAGGCCAGGCCGACGACCUUGCCGGAUUUUCAGAGAGGUGGUGCAUGGCCGUCGUCAGUUCGUACCGUAAGGCGUUCUCUUAAGUGAGAUAACGAACGAGACCCUCACCGAUAAUUGCUACUUCUUCCUCCGGGGAGGGGGCACAUUAUCGGGACCGCUGGCGCUAAGCCAGAGGAAGGAGAGGUCAACGGUAGGUCAGUAUGCCCCGAAUCUCUUGGGCUACACGCGCGCUACAAAGGGCGGGACAAUGGGCUCCGACGCCGAGAGGCGGAGGCAAUCCCGAAACCCGUCCGUAGUUCGGAUUGAGGGCUGUAACCCGCCCUCAUGAAGCUGGAUUCCGUAGUAAUCGCGA